GCCUUCGUGGUGUAAUGGUCAACACACUCGGUGAGUAUUCGAGAGGUCUGAGGUUCGAGUCCUGGCGAGGGCA
Non-coding RNA from Stegodyphus mimosarum, 73 nucleotides. The record is from Rfam. Lineage: Eukaryota; Metazoa; Arthropoda; Arachnida; Araneae; Eresidae.